CCCUGAGGGUGACAGGGAGGAGAAGGGGUUGUGUUGCCUCCACACAGUGGGACAAAGGCUGACCACGUCCCAGGUCCCAUCCUCCCGUCUGCAAGUUUAGGGAAUCUCUGCUCCCAGCUGGUGUUGAUCCCGUUGUCACGACCACCCCAUGCAGCUGCCCCCCAGCAGCAAUCCGACUAAUUUAGCUCUUCGCCUGGGUCUGGGAGCUGGUGGAGCGGUAGAGCCUUCUGGGCCCUUCCUGGUAUUUUCCAGGUACACAGGCUUCCCCGGUGGCUCACUUGGUUAAGAAUUUGCCUGCAAUGCAGAAGACCCAUGUUCAACCCCUGGGUUGGGAAGGUCCCGUGGAGAAGGGAAUGGCAACCCACUCCAGUAUUCUUGCCUGGAGAAUUCCAUGGACAGGGAGCUGGCAGGCUACAGUCCAUGGGGUCAUAAAGAGUCAGACACCGCUGAGUGACUAACACUCCAGGUACACAGUGAGUAGGACCAGCAGGUGGCGCCAGGCUCCCGUGGUCACAGCUGGAAGGGUGAAGCUGCUUCAGCGCUGCCCAAGUGACCCGUGGCAAGCUCUUCCUCCGGAGCUGGGUCUCCGGCUGGGUCCAAGGCCUAGCCCUCGUGCAGUUGACCCCAGCUCUUUCGCCGCAGGUGUACGCGGCCUCCGCGCGCCUCAGUAUCCAGGAAGAGCAGGGCGCGCCGGGAAGGCGUAGAAACUACGACUCCCAGGAGGCAUUGCGGAGGAGGGCGUUCACCACGGGCCAAUGAAGGCGAAGGAGCGGGCGCGCGCGGCGGGCCCAUUGGUUGGCGGUGCGAGGGCGGGGAUCCGGGAGGCGCGCUCUGGGUCGAUUGGCUGGGGAGGCGGGGGCGGGGCUCCAGAGGGCGCGCGCUUUUGUGGCGGUCAUGGAGGAAACCGGAGCCGUCUUCCGGAAAGAGCUGGUGAGCAAACUGCUGCACUUGCACUUUAAAGACAAGAAGACCAAGGUGUGAGCCCGAGGCAGGGGUGGUGUUGGGACCCUGCGCUGCAGCUCUGCAGGAGCCAGGGCCUUGGGGAGGCUGGGUGGACCAGACAGAGGCGGAGGUCACCAGCCUGAGCCUGAGCU
Molecule: long non-coding RNA, 1094 nt
Filed under: Bos grunniens (domestic yak)
Lineage: Eukaryota; Metazoa; Chordata; Mammalia; Artiodactyla; Bovidae
Description: lncRNA (ENSBGRG00000004481.1)
Source: RNAcentral